CUUGGCAAUACAAGGAAAUUGGAAAAUUAAAACUUGAAAAAGUUAUUGAGGGGCUAAACGAGGCACCUAUGAGUACAUAAAUUUUGAGUUAGAAAUGGUAGUACACUAAAAUAUUUAUUGCUUCAUCUGAAUAAGUAAAUAUUUUUAAUUGUAGACCAAUUAAUCAUUUACCAAUUUUAGUUGUAUACAUAUAAUAACACGACGCUUCUCUUAAAUAAGUUCCAUUCCAAGCUGACAAUGAAUCUCUCUGCUGCUCCUACAAACAACAUUGGCUAUGGAGAUAACAAGAUGAUUCCACUCAUAAAAAUUUUAAAGCCACAGAUGCAAAGAAGUGGUAGCCGCCAUUCCUUUCCAUACAGUUGCGGAUACAAAAAUUGGAGCCAAUUAGAGCGGUCGGUGACCGUUGACCACUCGAUUGUUGCAUUAAUGAAAUCGUUUAUUAAUAUUUAAACAAAUAAUAUUAAACAAUUCAAUUAAUAUAUAAAUGCUCUAAAACGUAAAUCAAAUAUUAACUAUCAUCGAGUUGCUUUUCCAAAAUCACCAAUUUUCACAAAUACUAACAGAUUCCAUAGGUCCACAGAUACUAACAAAAUCCUCAAUUUUCACGAAUUUCAUAGUCCACGUAUAUGAUAUCGCAUAUUCGAAAUUCACGAAGCCCAAAAUUUUCAUAAAUACUAUCAGCAGGCUCACAACUCACUAAGUUACAGACAAACUCACAGUAAAUGCUCAUAAAAACAUAAAUUCAUAAAUCAUAAUUGACUAUUUUAACUGAUAACUCAUAAUUUUAUAAAUAAUAAAUCAAUAAACCAAAUAGACUAACAACAACAAAAAAAAUAAAAUAAUAAUAAUAAUAAUUGAAGAGAGACAAGAGGUUCACCGCUCACGUCCCGCUAUUACGAAUGGAAUCAGUUACCGGCGAUGCAGUGGCCGAUGGCUCAACUUCAACGACUCCACAGUGGCUUAGCAUGUGUGCUAGCAGCAGAGGAUUGGGUUUGGAAAUUGGAAUUGGAUGGAAUUGUUUAAUUAUGGGUUUUAAGUGCCGAGGGCAUCUCUGUGAUUUGUGAAUUGAAUAAAACCAGCAAGUCAAGCGGGUUUUGCAUCUUCAAUCCAUUGGAUUGAGUAAUUGGGUCUAUUUUUAUUUUUAAUAAGAGGCCCAAAAGAAAAAGGCGCACAACUUAAAAAAAAAUAAAAAUUGGCCCAAAUGAGUUUUAUUCGUCUUCAAAAUCAUUCAUUCUUCUGGGCGGCUGCACCUACAUUUCAACCUUCAAGCUCAGUCCAUACAAGGGCGGACCCACAUGGGGUCACGUGGGAUCAAAUGACCCCACAGUUUUCUGGAUUUUUUUUUUUGCUGAAAACUUAAUUUUUUGUCUCAAAAUGUCCAUAUCCUAAAUCUAUAUCAAUAUCACAUGAUCCAUAUCCAUUAUUUAGUCCAUAGAUAUAUCGUAUAAUCCAUUAAUUUCUUCCCAAAAUGCAAACACCGAACAUGAACAAUAAAAAAUCGAUUUUUUCUUUUUGUUCAUGAUACGUUGUUCGAAAAAAAUAAAAUUUGACCCCACAGUUCGAACUGUUUGGGUCCGUCCCUGUGUCCAUAGCGAAGCGACGACUGUAGGUUCUUGCGAAGCACUGUUUCCACAUCGAUUCCUGAGUCUUAGGAGGGAAUGCUGACAUCAAAUAUGGAAAGAACAAAGCUUAACCCUUGCUAUUGNUUCUCAAAUUCACGAAGCCCACAAUUUUCAUAAAUACUAUCAGCAGGCUCACAACUCACUAAGUCACAGACAACCUCACAGUAAAUGCUCAUAAAAACAUAAAUUCAUAAAUCAUAAUUGACUAUUUUAACUGAUAACUCAUCAUUUUAUAAAUAAUAAAUCAAUAAACCAAAUAGACGAACAAAAACAGAAAAUAAUAAUAAUAAUAAUUGAAGAGAGACAAGAGGUUCACCGCUCAUGUCCCGCUAUCACGAGUGGAAUCAGUUACCGGCGAUGCAGUGGUGUAGCGCUGCAGUGGCCGAUGGCUCAACUUCAACAACUCCACAGUGGCUUAGCAUGCGUGCUAGCAGCAGAGAAUUGGAUUUGGAAUUUGGAAUUGGAUGGAAUUGCUUAAUUAUGGAUUUUAAGUGCCGAGUGCAUCUGCGUGAUUUGUGAAUUGAAUACAACCAGCAAGUCAAGCGGGUUUUGCAUCUUCAAUCCAUUGGAUUGAGUAAUUGGGUCUAUUUUUAUUUUUAUUUUUAAUAAGAGGCCCAAAAGAAAAGGCGCACCAAAAAAAAAAAAAAAAGAGAGAGGCCCAAAUCACUUUUAUUCAUCUUCAAAUUCAUUCAUUCUUCUGGGCGGCUGCACCUGCAUUUCAACCUUCAAGCUUUGUCCAUAGCGAAGCGACGACUGUAGGUUCUUGCGAAGCACUGUUUCCACAUCCAUUCCUGAGUCUUAGGAGGGAAUGCUGACAUCAAAUAUGGAAAGAACAAAGCUUAACCCUUGCUAUUGCUAUAAAAUAAAUUAGGGUUAAGCUUUGUUCUUCCCAGAUCCAAUGUCGGCAUUACCUCCAAAGUCUUCGGGAGAGGUGGUGUGGCAAACAACCGCCUCCAUCAAUUCUUUCUGGUCGUGGCACUUGAGUAGUUUUAGAAGGAACCAUUUUCUUAUCUCCAUCAUCAAUGUUUUUCAUGUAGUAGAGAGGUUUUUGGAAGCACGAAAACUCUGCCAAAGUCUCUUGUAUUCUCAUGGUGGUGGGAGGAAAAAUUUAUAGUGAAG
RNAcentral lists this long non-coding RNA (2741 nucleotides) under Olea europaea subsp. europaea. Lineage: Eukaryota; Viridiplantae; Streptophyta; Magnoliopsida; Lamiales; Oleaceae. The record is from RNAcentral.